GGCAGCAUGGCUCAGUGGAAAGAGCCUGGGCUUUGGAGUCAGAGGUCAUGGGUUCAACUCCCGGCUCUGCCA
This 72-nucleotide transfer RNA is filed under the name Ornithorhynchus anatinus (platypus). It matches the Rfam family "tRNA". From Rfam's summary of the family: Transfer RNA (tRNA) molecules are approximately 80 nucleotides in length. Their secondary structure includes four short double-helical elements and three loops (D, anti-codon, and T loops). Lineage: Eukaryota; Metazoa; Chordata; Mammalia; Monotremata; Ornithorhynchidae. The record is from Rfam by way of RNAcentral.